ACGCUCGACACCUACGGGAGGCAGCAGUGGGGAAUAUUGCACAAUGGGGGAAACCCUGAUGCAGCGACGCCGCGUGAGUGAAGAAGUAUUUCGGUAUGUAAAGCUCUAUCAGCAGGGAAGAAGAUGACGGUACCCGAGUAAGAAGCCCCGGCUAACUACGUGCAAGCAGCCGCGGUAAUCUGAGCGGCUGGCAAGGC
Molecule: ribosomal RNA, 197 nt
Filed under: uncultured bacterium
Lineage: Bacteria
Description: partial 16S ribosomal RNA
Rfam family: Bacterial small subunit ribosomal RNA
Source: RNAcentral